Biomphalaria pfeifferi is the source of this 645-nucleotide non-coding RNA. Lineage: Eukaryota; Metazoa; Mollusca; Gastropoda; Planorbidae. The record is from the annotation of a GenBank genome assembly.
CCAACCUCGUGGCGCUAAUGUUUUAAUCUCUGACUUUCUCCAGUGUUACAUUUGUUUGUAGAACAAAAACACAGAAAACAAAAUCUAAGUUCACUAGAUCUAUCUAGAAAUCAAUGAUAACACAAACAGUAGACACUAAUACAUCAGGUGAUUAAAAAAUGGAUGUAGUUCUUCAUCAUGGACGAACAUUAAAUCUCUAACAGAAAUCAAACAAAAUGUAAGAAAUUUGACACAGUGAGCAUCAGACCAAGCGGUGACAGGCACUCCAAGGCAUUCAACUCUAAUAGGCUCUCUAAUUCUCCAGUAGAUCUAAUCUAUUAGGUACAAAGAGUCUGGGUGACAAUCAGAGAAAUUUAAAUUGGACAAACAUGACUACACAUUCUGUAUAAUGUCAAUACUAUGCAUAACGCGUUAGGAAUAAAUUCAUAUUUUCAACCUUUAUUAGGGUUUGAGAAUUGAAUGUGUGAUAGCCCCCAAUUGUUACGAACAUGUUAACUAUCAUAUUUUUAUCAUAACAAAAAUAAUACUAACAAUAAUUCACUUCAAAACAAAUCUUAAAAAAAAUAAUAAUUCACACUUGGGCCAGUAACAAAUAAAGCGAACAACCAAUGAACACAAUACAUAUAUAUAUAUAUAUAUAUAUAU